AUUGAACGCUGGCGGCAUGCCUUACACAUGCAAGUCGAACGGCAGCACGGGGCAACCUGGUGGCGAGUGGCGAACGGGUGAGUAAUGCAUCGGAACGUGCCAUUGAGUGGGGGAUAACGUAGCGAAAGUUGCGCUAAUACCGCAUAUUCUGUGAGCAGGAAAGCAGGGACCGCAAGGCCUUGCGCUCUUUGAGCGGCCGAUGUCAGAUUAGCUAGUUGGUGAGGUAACGGCUUACCAAGGCGACGAUCUGUAGCGGGUCUGAGAGGAUGAUCCGCCACACUGGAACUGAGACACGGUCCAGACUCCUACGGGAGGCAGCAGUGGGGAAUUUUGGACAAUGGGCGCAAGCCUGAUCCAGCCAUGCCGCGUGAGUGAAGAAGGCCUUC
RNAcentral lists this ribosomal RNA (386 nucleotides) under uncultured bacterium. Its description in RNAcentral is "bacterial SSU rRNA". It matches the Rfam family "Bacterial small subunit ribosomal RNA", at positions 30 to 419 of the family's 1533-position model. The record is from RNAcentral.